CUGCAGAGGCCGCGCGCUGCAUCCCCGGCCCCGCCGCGCUGCUGCGCAGGACGCGGUGAGGCGCGCGCCGAGGCCCGGGAGCACCAGCCGGGAGCACUACAGGGCGCGCGAGCAGACGCGUGGACAAGGCCUGGGCGGGGUCUCCUCAGGGUCCCCAGCUUCGGUCAGAAACGAAACUGAAAGAGGGGCCCGAGGGAGGCGGAGCUGCGCCGACGCCACCCAGGCUUGCGAGGCCCGGACCCAGGCGCGGCCAGGUGUGCUUCAGCCACCAUGGCUCAGGAUGGCGUGGAGUUGGAGAAGAGCGUCAGGCGCCUCCGGGAGAAGUUUCAUGGAAAAGUGUCCCCCAAGAAGGCAGGGGCUCUUAUGAGGAAGUUUGGCAGCGACCACACUGGAGUUGGGCGCUCUAUCGUGUACGGUGUCAAGCAGAAAGAUGGACAGGAGCUGAGCAACGAUUUGGACGCUCAGGACCCACCAGAGGACAUGAAGCAGGACCAAGAUAUCCAGGUGGACCGACAGUUUGCCUGCUCCUCCUGUGACCAUGUCUGGUGGCGCCGUGUGCCUCAGAGGAAGGAGGUGUCCCGGUGUCGAAAAUGUCGGAAGCGUUAUGAACCAGUGCCAAACGACAAGAUGUGGGGUCUGGCAGAGUUCCACUGCCCAAAGUGUCGCCACAACUUCCGGUGAGGGCCCGGACCCCAGCCCACCCUCAGCCCCGCCCCAGCCCAGCCCACCCUAAGCCCAGCCCCAGUCUAGUCCCCUCCUCCUGUCCCCUAUGCCCAGCCAUCCCCUCAGCCCCUCACAGCCCUGCUGGCCCCCAGGGGCUGGGCACAGAUGGGGUCCCCAUCACCCUGCUAUGGGUGCGGCUUCCCUGUGUAUCCCACUCGGAUCCUGCCUCCACGCUGGGACCGUGACCUGGAUCGCCGCAGCACACACACCCACUCCUGCUCAGCCGCAGAUUGCUACAACCGGAGAGGUGAGCUGGUGUGCACCCUACAUUCUGCAUCCCCUGCACAUCGACCCCGGGGGCUGCUCCCUCCUCCCACGAAUCCUCUAUGGUUCCCUAGAAAUGGCUCCUCUCUCCCUCCCAUGGAGUUUCCAGAAGCUCUGUGGCGUCCAGCCUGCUAGGCCCGUGGUCCUCACUACCUAGCCCCACGUGCCUGGGACCUCCUGUGCCCAUCCCAAGAGCCGGAAGCAGAAUCACCUCCCCAAAGUCCUGCACCCUAGCAACCCCCACAUCAGCAGCGGCUCCACAGUGGCCACAUGCCUGAGCCAAGGAGGCCUCCUGGACGACCUGGACCACCUCAUCCUGGAGGACCUGAAGGAGGAGGAAGAGGAGGAAGAAGAGGAGGAUGGUGGGCCCCGAGAGUGACCCUGGCCAGGUGCACGAAGGAAUGACAGACACAGUGAAUGGACACCUCCUGUUGCUAUAAGAUACCAGCUCAAGGAGAUAGGAGCACCCUUGGGGGGGUACUCAUGGGACAGUCACAACCGAACAAGCCGGGUCAGCAUAGCAGCCUUCUUCAGAGAGUACGCCCCACCACGGAACUCGGCCCAGUAGACCCCGUCCUGGUAUCGGCUCCGGUAAUGACCUCCGUGAUACCAUACACCAUUGAGGUUGGAGUGGGCGCAGGCAUGGUACCACCAGCCCCCACGAUGGUAGAGGGCACAGUUGCCUGAGGGGGGAGAGAGAGGAGAGAGAAAGAGACAGCAUUCGUUUUCCCACCAAAAUAAAAGUAUCUACCAGCACUUCUUUGUGC
RNAcentral lists this long non-coding RNA (1754 nucleotides) under Rattus norvegicus (Norway rat). Its description in RNAcentral is "long non-coding RNA NONRATT027480". Lineage: Eukaryota; Metazoa; Chordata; Mammalia; Rodentia; Muridae. The record is from RNAcentral.